CCUACGGGAGGCUGCAGUGGGGGAUAUUGCACAAUGGGGGGAACCCUGAUGCAGCGACGCCGCGUGGGUGAAGAAGCGCCUCGGCGCGUAAAGCUCUGUCAGCAGGGAAGAAAAUGACGGUACCUGAAGAAGAAGCCACGGAGAACUACGUGCCAGCAGCCGCGGUAAUACGUAGGGGGCACGCGUUAACCGGAUUUACUGGGUGUAAAGGGGGCGCAGACGGCGAUGCAAGCCAGGUGUGAAAGCCCGGGGCCCAACCCGGGGACUGCUUUUGGAACUGGGUGGCUGGAGUGCAGGAGGGGGAGGCGGAAUUCCUGGUGUAGCGGUGAAAUGCGUAGAUAUCAGGAGGAACACCGGUGGCGAAGGCGGCCUGCUGGACCUCAACUGACGCUGAGGCCCGAAAGCGUGGGGAGCAAACAGGAUUAGAUACCCUAGUAGUC
This 440-nucleotide ribosomal RNA is filed under the name uncultured bacterium. Its description in RNAcentral is "partial 16S ribosomal RNA". It matches the Rfam family "Bacterial small subunit ribosomal RNA", at positions 338 to 795 of the family's 1533-position model. The record is from RNAcentral.